This 440-nucleotide unclassified non-coding RNA is filed under the name Hevea brasiliensis (rubber tree). The record is from RNAcentral. Lineage: Eukaryota; Viridiplantae; Streptophyta; Magnoliopsida; Malpighiales; Euphorbiaceae.
CUAUUAACUCUGAACAAAGGAGCUUCCGAAUAAACUACAUGGAGUUCAGAAGCGCUCGACAAUUCAAAACCAUCACUAACUCUUCACACACUACUGACUUCUAUCGCCAAUAACAAUAUAACGAAAAUGAAGAAGAUGAAAAAGAUAAGAUACCAAGAAUAGAAUCAAGUAUGACAGCACAAAAUGUAGCCUGAUCUCACCAAGCUCAACAUGACCGAAGCAAAAUAGGACCCACUGAUGAGCUAAGCAUAUCACUUAGAGCUACUUGGACCUCAUUCGACCCAUGUUCACAACUUAUCAAGCCUGAAAGAAGGGGGAAGAAAUGACUUAAGUUCUUUUCAAAUGAAGCAUCUCCCAAACUACAAAUAGCCUGAAGAGUUACAACUAUAAGAGGUGCCCGUGAAGCCAAUUCCCGCCGUUUCCCAGAGCCUACAGGAAUC